GGGCGUGUGGCUCAGUGGUAGAGCGCCCGCUUUGCAUCUUCUGUGUGCUUCGGCAUGUGGUUACUGAUGAGUCUGCGGGAGGCCCAGGUUUCGAUCACCUGCUCGUCCA
Curvularia kusanoi is the source of this 109-nucleotide non-coding RNA. NCBI's taxonomy places the organism in Eukaryota, Fungi, Ascomycota, Dothideomycetes, Pleosporales, Pleosporaceae. The record is from the annotation of a GenBank genome assembly.